This 478-nucleotide long non-coding RNA is filed under the name Ananas comosus (pineapple). RNAcentral describes it as "long non-coding RNA (ACOM_LNC007929)". Lineage: Eukaryota; Viridiplantae; Streptophyta; Magnoliopsida; Poales; Bromeliaceae. The record is from RNAcentral.
UAUCGUGUUUUUGACGACAAUAAUAAAUUAAUUUAGUUAGAAUACUUCCAAAAAUAUCAAAUAAGCAAUGCUUUUAGAGUUUUAACUCGCAGAUCUUGCUAUUCAACUUGGAUUUAGAAAUAACAGGUCGAAUAAUAUAAUCCAAAAGGCAUGAAUGAUCAAAGAAUCUUAAUUCAAGGAUGAAAAAAUUAGAAGCACUAAAGGACUGGUGCUUCUAAAAGCAUUCUGGAUGGACUCCGAGAACUGCUGCUAGAGUAAUUAGCUGUCAUCUAAAUGAUCGAAAAAUUUUCUUUUCAAAGCAAUAGAUCACAUCCAAAAAUCUCAUUUCUGAGCCCUAAUAUGUUUUUUUUUAGAGAUAGAUAACACGCUACCCACUUCGUUUAUUUCAUUUAUAAAUAAACUUAGCUAGAAAUAUGAAUCAAUUAGGAUUCGAACUUGGGUCUCGAAUACCAACUACCAGCCCGUUGCCACUUGCUCU